This 667-nucleotide ribosomal RNA is filed under the name bacterium enrichment culture clone NCCE5. Its description in RNAcentral is "bacterial SSU rRNA". It matches the Rfam family "Bacterial small subunit ribosomal RNA", at positions 106 to 807 of the family's 1533-position model. The record is from RNAcentral.
GUGAGUAACGCGUGGGAAUCUACCUAGCUCUACGGAAUAACUCAGGGAAACUUGAACUAAUACCGUAUACGCCCUUUGGGGGAAAGAUUUAUCGGAGUUGGGUGAGCCCGCGUCUGAUUAGCUAGUUGGUGGGGUAAAGGCCUACCAAGGCGACGAUCAGUAGCUGGUCUGAGAGGAUGAUCAGCCACACUGGGACUGAGACACGGCCCAGACUCCUACGGGAGGCAGCAGUGGGGAAUAUUGGACAAUGGGCGCAAGCCUGAUCCAGCCAUGCCGCGUGAGUGAUGAAGGCCCUAGGGUUGUAAAGCUCUUUCACCGGUGAAGAUAAUGACGGUAACCGGAGAAGAAGCCCCGGCUAACUUCGUGCCAGCAGCCGCGGUAAUACGAAGGGGGCUAGCGUUGUUCGGAAUUACUGGGCGUAAAGCGCACGUAGGCGGACCAUUAAGUCAGGGGUGAAAUCCCGGGGCUCAACCCCGGAACUGCCUUUGAUACUGGUGGUCUCGAGUUCGAGAGAGGUGAGUGGAAUUCCGAGUGUAGAGGUGAAAUUCGUAGAUAUUCGGAGGAACACCAGUGGCGAAGGCGGCUCACUGGCUCGAUACUGACGCUGAGGUGCGAAAGCGUGGGGGAGCAAACAGGAUUAGAUACCCUGGUAGUCCACGCCGUAAAC